This 336-nucleotide unclassified non-coding RNA is filed under the name soil metagenome. RNAcentral describes it as "partial contains 5.8S ribosomal RNA, internal transcribed spacer 2, and large subunit ribosomal RNA". The stretch from base 1 to 120 matches the Rfam family "5.8S ribosomal RNA", at positions 35 to 154 of the family's 154-position model. The record is from RNAcentral.
GAUGAAGAACGCAGCGAAAUGCGAUAAGUAAUGUGAAUUGCAGAAUUCAGUGAAUCAUCGAAUCUUUGAACGCACAUUGCGCCCGCCAGUAUUCUGGCGGGCAUGCCUGUUCGAGCGUCAUUUCAACCAUCAAGCCCCCGGCUUGUGUUGGGGACCUGCGGCUGCCGCAGGCCCUGAAAAGCAGUGGCGGGCUCGCUGUCACACCGAGCGUAGUAGCAUACAUCUCGCUCUGGGCGUGCUGCGGGUUCCGGCCGUUAAACCACCUUCAUAACCCAAGGUCGACCUCGGAUCAGGUAGGAAGACCCGCUGAACUUAAGCAUAUCAAUAAGCGGAGGA